CAGUAGCCGCGGGAAUACGGAGGGUGCAAGCGUUAAUCGGAAUUACUGGGCGUAAAGCGCACGCAGGCGGUCUGUCAAGUCAGAUGUGAAAUCCCCGGGCUUAACCUGGGAACUGCAUUUGAAACUGGCAGGCUAGAGUCUUGUAGAGGGGGGUAGAAUUCCAGGUGUAGCGGUGAAAUGCGUAGAGAUCUGGAGGAAUACCGGUGGCGAAGGCGGCCCCCUGGACAAAGACUGACGCUCAGGUGCGAAAGCGUGGGGAGCAAACAGGAUUAGAGACCCCGGUAGUCCCUGUCUCUUAUAA
This 301-nucleotide ribosomal RNA is filed under the name uncultured bacterium. Its description in RNAcentral is "partial 16S ribosomal RNA". It matches the Rfam family "Bacterial small subunit ribosomal RNA", at positions 509 to 809 of the family's 1533-position model. The record is from RNAcentral.